RNAcentral lists this ribosomal RNA (705 nucleotides) under uncultured bacterium. RNAcentral's name for it is "bacterial SSU rRNA". It matches the Rfam family "Bacterial small subunit ribosomal RNA", at positions 8 to 745 of the family's 1533-position model. The record is from RNAcentral.
AGAGUUUGAUCCUGGCUCAGAAUCAACGCUGGCGGCGUGCCUAACACAUGCAAGUCGAACGAGAAAGGGUAGCAAUACCUGAGUAAAGUGGCGCACGGGUGAGUAACACGUGACUAACCUACCUUUUAGUGGGGGAUAACCUAGGGAAACCUGGGCUAAUACCGCAUAAUACCUACGGGUCAAAGCAGCAAUGCGCUGAAAGAGGGGGUCGCGGUCGAUUAGUUAGUUGGCAGGGUAAUGGCCUACCAAGACUGUGAUCGAUAUCCGGCCUGAGAGGGCGCACGGACACACUGGAACUGAAACACGGUCCAGACUCCUACGGGAGGCAGCAGUGGGGAAUUUUGCGCAAUGGGGGAAACCCUGACGCAGCAACGCCGCGUGGAGGAUGAAGUCCCUUGGGACGUAAACUCCUUUCGAUCGGGACGAUAAUGACGGUACCGGAAGAAGAAGCCCCGGCUAACUUCGUGCCAGCAGCCGCGGUAAUACGAGGGGGGCAAGCGUUGUUCGGAAUUAUUGGGCGUAAAGGGUGCGUAGGUGGUUCGGCAAGUCUUGUGUGAAAUCCUCAGGCUCAACUUGAAGUCUGCACAAGAAACUGCCGGGCUUGAGUAUGGGAGAGGUGAGUGGAAUUUCCGGUGUAGCGGUGAAAUGCGUAGAUAUCGGAAGGAACACCUGUGGCGAAAGCGGCUCACUGGACCAUUACUGACA